This 468-nucleotide ribosomal RNA is filed under the name uncultured bacterium. RNAcentral's name for it is "partial 16S ribosomal RNA". It matches the Rfam family "Bacterial small subunit ribosomal RNA", at positions 28 to 507 of the family's 1533-position model. The record is from RNAcentral.
GACGAACGCUGGCGGCGUGCUUAACACAUGCAAGUCGAACGGAAAGGCCCUGCUUUUGUGGGGUGCUCGAGUGGCGAACGGGUGAGUAACACGUGAGUAACCUGCCCUUGUCUUUGGGAUAACUUCAGGAAACUGGGGCUAAUACCGGAUAGGAGCUCCUGCUGCGUGGUGGGGGUUGGAAAGUUUCGGCGGUUGGGGAUGGACUCGCGGCUUAUCAGCUUGUUGGUGGGGUAGUGGCUUACCAAGGCUUAGACGGGUAGCCGGCCUGGGAGGGUGACCGGCGACAUUGGGACUGAGAGACGGCCCAGACUCCUACGGGAGGCAGCGGUGGGGAAUAUGGCACAAUGGGCGGAAGCCUGAUGCAGCAACGCCGCGUGCGGGAUGACGGCCUUCGGGUUGUAAACCGCUUUCGCCUGUGACGAAGCGGGAGUGACGGUAAUGGGUAAAGAAGCACCGGCUAACUACGUG